This 225-nucleotide ribosomal RNA is filed under the name uncultured bacterium. Its description in RNAcentral is "partial 16S ribosomal RNA". It matches the Rfam family "Bacterial small subunit ribosomal RNA", at positions 111 to 334 of the family's 1533-position model. The record is from RNAcentral.
UAACGCGUGGGGAACCGUGCCCUAUACAGGGGGAGUAACAGCUGGAAACGGUUGCUAAUACCGCAUAAGCGCACAGAAUCGCAUGAUUCAGUGUGAAAAGCCCUGGCAGUAUAGGAUGGUCCCGCGUCUGAUUAGCUGGUUGGUGAGGUAACGGCUCACCAAGGCGACGAUCAGUAGCCGGCUUGAGAGAGUGAACGGCCACAUUGGGACUGAGACACGGCCCAA